RNAcentral lists this ribosomal RNA (497 nucleotides) under uncultured bacterium. RNAcentral describes it as "partial 16S ribosomal RNA". It matches the Rfam family "Bacterial small subunit ribosomal RNA", at positions 28 to 507 of the family's 1533-position model. The record is from RNAcentral.
GACGAACGCUGGCGGCGUGCCUAAUACAUGCAAGUUGAGCGAUGAAGAUUGGUGCUUGCACCAAUUUGAAGAGCAGCGAACGGGUGAGUAACGCGUGGGGAAUCUGCCUUUGAGCGGGGGACAACAUUUGGAAACGAAUGCUAAUACCGCAUAACAACUUUAAACAUAAGUUUUAAGUUUGAAAGAUGCAAUUGCAUCACUCAAAGAUGAUCCCGCGUUGUAUUAGCUAGUUGGUGAGGUAAAGGCUCACCAAGGCGAUGAUACAUAGCCGACCUGAGAGGGUGAUCGGCCACAUUGGGACUGAGACACGGCCCAAACUCCUACGGGAGGCAGCAGUAGGGAAUCUUCGGCAAUGGACGAAAGUCUGACCGAGCAACGCCGCGUGAGUGAAGAAGGUUUUCGGAUCGUAAAACUCUGUUGGUAGAGAAGAACGUUGGUGAGAGUGGAAAGCUCAUCAAGUGACGGUAACUACCGAGAAAGGGACGGCUAACUACGUG